UACGUAGGGUGCAAGCGUUUGUCCGGAAUUAUUGGGCGUAAAGAGCUCGUAGGCGGCUCGUCGCGUCGGCUGUGAAAACCUGGGGCUCAACCCCGGGCCUGCAGCCGAUACGGGCGAGCUAGAAUUCGGUAGGGGAGACUGGAAUUCCUGGUGUAGCGGUGAAAUGCGCAGAUAUCAGGAGGAACACCGGUGGCGAAGGCGGGGUCUCUGGGGCCGAUAUUGACGCUGAGGAGCGAAAGCGUGGGGAGCGAACAGG
This 256-nucleotide ribosomal RNA is filed under the name uncultured bacterium. Its description in RNAcentral is "partial 16S ribosomal RNA". It matches the Rfam family "Bacterial small subunit ribosomal RNA", at positions 524 to 776 of the family's 1533-position model. The record is from RNAcentral.